GACGAACGCUGGCGGCGUGCUUAACACAUGCAAGUCGAACGGAAAGGCCCCUUCGGGGGUACUCGAGUGGCGAACAGGUGAGUAACACGUGAGUAACCUGCCCUUGACUUCGGGAUAACUUCAGGAAACUGGGGCUAAUACCGGAUAGGAAUCCUUGCUGCAUGGUGGGGGUUGGAAAGCUUCGGCGGUUUUGGAUGGACUCGCGGCUUAUCAGCUAGUUGGUGGGGUAGUGGCGUACCAAGGCUAUGGUGGGUAGCCGGCCUGAGAGGGCGACCGGCCACACUGGAACUGAGGAAGGGGCAAGAGACGUACGGGAGGCAGGAGGAGGGAAGCGUCGGGGAUGGGCGAGAGCGUGACGGAGCGACGGCGCGUGAGUGAUGAAGGUCUUCGGAGCGUAAGACGCUGUUAUUAGGGAAGAAAAAAUGUGUAAGGAACUAUGCAGGUCUUGACGGUACAGAAUCAGAAAGCCACGGCUAGCUACGGG
RNAcentral lists this ribosomal RNA (484 nucleotides) under uncultured bacterium. RNAcentral's name for it is "partial 16S ribosomal RNA". It matches the Rfam family "Bacterial small subunit ribosomal RNA", at positions 28 to 507 of the family's 1533-position model. The record is from RNAcentral.